AAUUGAUAUGGGUUUAUUUUUUUUAAAAAAAGCAGACCUUUAGAAAUCAACCAUAUUGUUAAAAUAUGAAUGCCAUUUCAAUUGCACAUAUGCUCAACCGUAGUGCGUGAAAUAUUGAUGGGGUGCAUAUAUUAGAAAAAGGAGACCUUUAGAAUUUGAAAUGACGUUUAAACAAAAGAUUGUCUGCUCCCGGGAACAAUCUGCCAUGCAUAAUGUACGUAGAUCGCAUGUUACGCACUCGUGGGCACAGCAAAGUGCUCCAGGAUUCAAAUUAUAACAAUGGUUGAUUUCUAAAGGUCUCCUUUUUUUUAUACACCCUGUAUAACUCGUCUGAAUCGAUGGUGCAUUUACAUUUUACAAUAUUGCAAUUUUCAUUUAAUUAAAUCAACACGAAGUAAUAGAUGACAUAAAGUCUCAUCUACGCCUCUACUACCCAAUUUAUCCCAAUUCAUUGUUAUUAGAGUCAUAGGCGUAU
This is a non-coding RNA of Paramuricea clavata, 475 nucleotides long. The record is from the annotation of a GenBank genome assembly. NCBI's taxonomy places the organism in Eukaryota, Metazoa, Cnidaria, Anthozoa, Malacalcyonacea, Plexauridae.